RNAcentral lists this long non-coding RNA (949 nucleotides) under Rattus norvegicus (Norway rat). Its description in RNAcentral is "long non-coding RNA NONRATT013359". Lineage: Eukaryota; Metazoa; Chordata; Mammalia; Rodentia; Muridae. The record is from RNAcentral.
AAAAGAGAAAGAAAUGAAAAUAGCUUUUCUGUUUUUCUGUGGGACCUGGGAAAAUUAAUGUCUUGCUAUCAUAUAUUGUUUGCUUGUUUGCUUUUGUUUUUGAAACAGGGUAUCUUUAUGUAGCCCUACUGUCCUGAAACUCACUAUAUAGACCAGCCAUCCAAGGUGUCUGAUUUAAAUCCCGUGUCAAUGCCUUUUGCCUCUAACUCAGAAUCUGCUCCAUUGACUUUGGCAUCACCAAGAUUGGUUGCUGCUGAUAAUCAGGACACUGGUAGUUUACCUCAGUUAGCUGUACCAGCACCUCGAGUUUCUCAUCGAAUGCAGCCCAGAGGUUCUUUUUACUCAGUAGUACCAAAUGCAACUCUACACCAGGAUCCCCAGUCAAUUUUUGUUACCAAUCCAGUUCCUUUAACACCGCCACAAGGCCCGCCAACUGCAGUGCAGCUUUCAUCGGCUGUGAACAUUAUGAACGGCUCUCAGGUGCACAUAAACCCAGCAAAUAAGUCCUUGCAACCUACAUUUGGCCCAGCCACGCUUUUUAAUCACUUCAGUAGUCUUUUUGAUAGUGGUCAGGUGCCAGCUAACCAAGGGUGGGGAGAUGGACCUCUGCCCUCAAGAGUUGCUGCAGAUGCCUCUUUCACUGUUCAGUCAGCUUUCCUGAGUAACUCUGUACUUGGACACUUGGAAAAUGUGCAUCCUGACAACUCCAAGGCACCUGGCUUCAGACCACCAUCACAGAGAGUUUCUACUAGUCCAGUUGGUAAGCUGUUAAGUAUUAUUGUAGCUAAAUAUGGGACUGUCAAAACUCAUCUUCCAAGCUAAUAGGGCCUUGUUUUGUACCUAAUACUAUCUAACCUUACAAGAAAUAAUGCCUUUUAGUUAAUGCUGCUUAAAUGCAAAAAUUGCUGUAUAUAAAUCACAUAAAAUAAAUUAUUUAUUUCUGUACCUG